This 494-nucleotide ribosomal RNA is filed under the name uncultured bacterium. RNAcentral's name for it is "partial 16S ribosomal RNA". It matches the Rfam family "Bacterial small subunit ribosomal RNA", at positions 28 to 507 of the family's 1533-position model. The record is from RNAcentral.
GACGAACGCUGGCGGCGUGCUUAACACAUGCAAGUCGAACGGUGAAGCGCCUUCCUUUUUGGUGGGUGUGGAUGAGUGGCGAACGGGUGAGUAACACGUGAGUAACCUGCCCCCUUCUUCUGGAUAACCGCAUGAAAGUGUGGCUAAUACGGGAUAUUCUGGGUCUGUCGCAUGAUGGGUCUGGGAAAGAUAUUGUUUCGGUGGGGGAUGGGCUCGCGGCCUAUCAGCUUGUUGGUGGGGUGAUGGCCUACCAAGGCGGGGCCGGGUAGCCGGCCUGAGAGGGUGGACGGUCACACUGGGACUGGGACACGGCCCAGACUCCUACGGGAGGCAGCAGUGGGGAAUAUUGCACAAUGGGCGCAAGCCUGAUGCAGCGACGCCGCGUGAGGGAUGGAGGCCUUCGGGUUGUGAACCUCUUUCGCCAGUGAAGCAGGCCUGCCUCGUUUGUGGGUGGGUUGACGGUAGCUGGAUAAGAAGCGCCGGCUAACUACGUG